This 496-nucleotide ribosomal RNA is filed under the name uncultured bacterium. RNAcentral describes it as "partial 16S ribosomal RNA". It matches the Rfam family "Bacterial small subunit ribosomal RNA", at positions 29 to 507 of the family's 1533-position model. The record is from RNAcentral.
AUGAACGCUGGCGGCGUGCCUAAUACAUGCAAGUCGAGCGAACAGACGAGGAGCUUGCUCCUCUGACGUUAGCGGCGGACGGGUGAGUAACACGUGGAUAACCUACCUAUAAGACUGGGAUAACUUCGGGAAACCGGAGCUAAUACCGGAUAAUAUAUUGAACCGCAUGGUUCAAUAGUGAAAGACGGUUUUGCUGUCACUUAUAGAUGGAUCCGCGCCGCAUUAGCUAGUUGGUAAGGUAACGGCUUACCAAGGCAACGAUGCGUAGCCGACCUGAGAGGGUGAUCGGCCACACCGGAACUGAGACACGGUCCAGACUCCUACGGGAGGCAGCAGUAGGAAAUCUUCCGCAAUGGGCGAAAGCCUGACGGAGCAACGCCGCGUGAGUGAUGAAGGUCUUCGGAUCGUAAAACUCUGUUAUUAGGGAAGAACAAAUGUGUAAGUAACUAUGCACGUCUUGACGGUACCUAAUCAGAAAGCCACGGCUAACUACGUG